AGCCUGAUGCAGCCAUGCCGCGUGUGUGAAGAAGGCCUUCGGGUUGUAAAGCACUUUCAGUUGUGAGGAAAGGUUAGUAGUUAAUACCUGCUAGCUGUGACGUUAACAACAGAAGAAGCACCGGCUAACUCCGUGCCAGCAGCCGCGGUAAUACGGAGGGUGCGAGCGUUAAUCGGAAUUACUGGGCGUAAAGCGUACGCAGGCGGUUUGUUAAGCGAGAUGUGAAAGCCCCGGGCUCAACCUGGGAACUGCAUUUCGAACUGGCAAACUAGAGUGUGAUAGAGGGUGGUAGAAUUUCAGGUGUAGCGGUGAAAUGCGUAGAGAUCUGAAGGAAUACCGAUGGCGAAGGCAGCCACCUGGGUCAACACUGACGCUCAUGUACGAAAGCGUGGGGAGCAAACGGGAUUAGAUACCCCGGUAGUCCACGCCGUAAACGAUGUCUACUAGGAGUGCGGUUUUUCGGAACUGUCUUCCAAAGCUAACGCAUUAAGUAGACCGCCUGG
This 503-nucleotide ribosomal RNA is filed under the name Pseudoalteromonas sp. 8Bf2S27. RNAcentral describes it as "bacterial SSU rRNA". It matches the Rfam family "Bacterial small subunit ribosomal RNA", at positions 380 to 876 of the family's 1533-position model. Lineage: Bacteria; Pseudomonadati; Pseudomonadota; Gammaproteobacteria; Alteromonadales; Pseudoalteromonadaceae. The record is from RNAcentral.